Strigops habroptila (Kakapo) is the source of this 99-nucleotide long non-coding RNA. RefSeq lists it as uncharacterized. The record is from RefSeq and is a predicted model, not a curated record. NCBI's taxonomy places the organism in Eukaryota, Metazoa, Chordata, Aves, Psittaciformes, Psittacidae. The transcript has 3 exons.
CUUGGCAAAAGCCUUUGCAAAAGCCCUGGCAAAAUCCAUGGCAAAAUCCCUGCCACAAGCCUUGGCAAAAUCCCUGGCAAAAUCCCUGCAAAAUCCCUG